This 278-nucleotide ribosomal RNA is filed under the name Segatella copri DSM 18205. Its description in RNAcentral is "Prevotella copri DSM 18205 partial 16S ribosomal RNA". It matches the Rfam family "Bacterial small subunit ribosomal RNA", at positions 493 to 776 of the family's 1533-position model. Lineage: Bacteria; Pseudomonadati; Bacteroidota; Bacteroidia; Bacteroidales; Prevotellaceae. The record is from RNAcentral.
UAUGGUAAUUGUGCCGCCGCGGUAAUACGGAAGGUCCGGGCGUUAUCCGGAUUUAUUGGGUUUAAAGGGAGCGUAGGCCGGAGAUUAAGCGUGUUGUGAAAUGUAGAUGCUCAACGUCUGCACUGCAGCGCGAACUGGUUUCCUUGAGUACGCACAAAGUGGGCGGAAUUCGUGGUGUAGCGGUGAAAUGCUUAGAUAUCACGAAGAACUCCGAUUGCGAAGGCAGCUCACUGGAGCGCAACUGACGCUGAAGCUCGAAAGUGCGGGUAUCGAACAGG